This 443-nucleotide ribosomal RNA is filed under the name uncultured bacterium. RNAcentral describes it as "partial 16S ribosomal RNA". It matches the Rfam family "Bacterial small subunit ribosomal RNA", at positions 338 to 795 of the family's 1533-position model. The record is from RNAcentral.
CCUACGGGUGGCAGCAGUGGGGAAUAUUGGGCAAUGGGCGCAAGCCUGACCCAGCAACGCCGCGUGAAGGAAGAAGGCCCUCGGGUUGUAAACUUCUUUUAUCAAGGACGAAACAAAUGACGGUACUAGAUGAAUAAGCCACGGCUAACUACGUGCCAGCAGCCGCGGUAAUACGCAGGUGGCAAGCGUUAUACGGAUUUACUGGGUGUAAUGGGCGUGUAGGCGGGACUGCAAGUCAGAUGUGAAAACCAUGGGCUCAACCCAUGGCCUGCAUUUGAAACUGUAGUUCUUGAGUGUUGGUGAGGCAGGCGGAAUUCCGGGUGUAGCGGUGAAAUGCGUAGAUAUACGGAGGAACACCAGUGGCGAAGGCGGCCUGCUGGACAAUAACUGACGCUGAGGCGCGAAAGCGUGGGGAGCAAACGGGAUUAGAUACCCGGGUAGUC